GCACCUUCCAGUACGGUGGAAAUGACCAAGCUGGAGUAUGGUAGGGGCAUAGGGAAUUUCUAAUAGAGCAGUGAAAUGCAUAGAGAUCGGAAAGAAUACUAACAGUGAAAGCACUCUGUUAGGCCGAUACUGACAUUGAGAGAUGAAAGCUAGGGGAGCGAAUAGGAUUAGAUACCCCAGUAGUCCUAGCUGUAAAUGAUGGAUAUUGGGCGCUAUGUGUAUCGACCCGUGCAGUGCUGUAGCUAACGCGUUAAGUAUCCC
Molecule: non-coding RNA, 261 nt
Filed under: Ricinus communis (castor bean)
Lineage: Eukaryota; Viridiplantae; Streptophyta; Magnoliopsida; Malpighiales; Euphorbiaceae
Description: Bacterial small subunit ribosomal RNA
Rfam family: Bacterial small subunit ribosomal RNA
Source: Rfam by way of RNAcentral